RNAcentral lists this long non-coding RNA (1731 nucleotides) under Citrus sinensis (sweet orange). Its description in RNAcentral is "long non-coding RNA (CSIN_LNC005439)". Lineage: Eukaryota; Viridiplantae; Streptophyta; Magnoliopsida; Sapindales; Rutaceae. The record is from RNAcentral.
AACAAAGAAAAAGAAGAAAAGACUGUGAUUUAUUCGUAUUGGAAAGAUUUAGAUGAAGAUGUCAUUGGAAUGGAAAAAGCAUCAGAAUAUCAUUUGGUAGUGGCAGCACUCAUAGCAACAGUAACCUUUGCCGCAGCAUUCACCUUACCCGGUGGUUACAAGAGUGACACUGAAGACGGCCCAAACAGGGGCACUGCAAUUCUCAGUAAAAACGCAGCUUUCCAAGUAUUUGUUAUAUCAGACGCCAUAGCCAUGGUCCUCUCACUUUCUGCUGUCUUUGUCCAUUUCAUUCUGUCACUUAAGUUUUUUAAAAAAUUCAUCUUUUUAUUCGUUUUUGCUCUUUCCUUCACCUUAGUUGCCAUGGCGGCAAUGAUAGUAGCAUUUGUUACGGGCACAUAUGCAAUGCUGGCAACACCUUCUUUGUGGCUUGCCAUUGUUACUUGUAUCAUUGGCUUGUCCUUCUUCUUCUUGGUGAUUUUCAUGUACUACAAGGUUAUAUCAAAAGCGAAGGAAGAGGAAAUGGAAGACGAAGAUUAGCUUAUGGUUCCAAGAAAAGUUAUUGUAUACCUCUCUCUAGUACUAUAAUUAUGUUAGCAUCAUCCCACUGUUAUGAUCUGGAGUUAUAAGUUGUGAUUGAAAUUUGUUACACUAUCUUAUUUGGUGUAUUGCUUCAAGGUUGUAAAACGUUACUGAGAGCUUGAAAGAAAUGAUAUCAUCUAUUUAUGAUGCAGAAUUAGUUGUUGCAUAAGCAUUCCAAAUUAAUUUUAAUCAGGGAUCUUCACCGCGGAAUGAGUAUUAGUUAUUCGGAUGGGUAAAGUUUCUUCUUAACCUAAUUAAGUGGAGAAACAAAUUUGAUAUUUCAAAUUGUGAAGAGCUUUUUUCUUUUGGAAAUUCUACCAUCAAAAUCAAUUAUAGAAUUCGAAACAAAUUCUAGUUUUACAAUGUCUACAGUCUACUUAUGAAUUGCAUAAAGGAUAGAGCUGCAGACCUUCAGUUAGACAACAGGGAUCAGUGUGUAAAUUAUUCAUAUUUUAUUUAAAAACUGCUGUACGGCCAAGGCGGAUGUACGGUACAGCAGAUGAAAAUGUCAUUGGAAUGAAAGAAGCAUCACAGUCACAUUUGGUAGUGGCAGCACUCAUAGCAACAGUAACCUUUGCUGCGGCAUUCACCUUACCCGGUGGUUACAAGAGUGAGACUGAAGACGGCGCAAACAGGGGCACUGCAAUUCUCAGUAAAAACGCAGCUUUCCAAGCAUUUGUUAUAUCAGACGCCAUAGCCAUGGUCCUUUCACUUUCUGCUGUUUUUGUCCAUUUCAUUCUGUCACUUAAGUUUUUUAAAAAAUUCAUCUUUUUAUUCGUUUUUGCUCUUUCCUUCACCUUAGUUGCCAUGGCGGCAAUGAUAGUAGCAUUUGUUACGGGCACAUAUGCAAUGCUGGCAACACCUUCUUUAGGGCUUGCCAUUGUUACUUGUAUCAUUGGCUUGACCUUCUUCCUCUUGGUGAUUUUCAUGUUUUACAUGGUUUUUUCAAGAGCAGAGGAAGAGGAAUAUGAAGUGGAAGAGGAAAUGGAAGACUAAGAUUAGCGUAUGGUUCCAAUACAAGUUAUUGUAUACCUCUCUCUAGUACUAUAAUUAUGUUAGCAUCAUCCCACUGUUAUGAUCUGGAGUUAUAAGUUGUGAUUGAAAUUUGUUACACUAUCUUAUUUGGUGUAUUGCUUCAAGGUUGUAAAACGU